This 730-nucleotide long non-coding RNA is filed under the name Numida meleagris (helmeted guineafowl). Its description in RNAcentral is "lncRNA (ENSNMEG00000014631.1)". The record is from RNAcentral. Lineage: Eukaryota; Metazoa; Chordata; Aves; Galliformes; Numididae.
GGAAAUGACAAGCCUACUACUCACCUACCAUGAACAAAAAUAAGAAACACCUGUUAUCUUGUUGUUCUUACUUAAUUUACUUCCUCUGGCCCACUUUGUUUCUUUGCCUUCAUUUUGAAGACCUGAGAUGAACAGUAGUGAGGUCCUUGGUUGUUUUUUUUUUUUAACAUUUAUGAUUAAAGAAAUGUGCUCCUGCAGCACCACCUGCUCACCCUACCUCCUUCCAGGCAGGCAGAAGUAGUGGGAUUCAGGCCCCAAGGCCCUCUUCCUUCCCUCUUGCAUGGUUCAGAGUCCCAGCAUGUGCUGAAGCCAUGGUCAGAGGGGAGAUGUGGGAGUGGUACUGGGGAAUAAGCAUUUCCAGAUCAGGUUGUAACGUUGUGCGUCUGGAGGCCUUCUGGUCAUUGCGUGAGGUUAGAGUAAAAGUCUGCAUAGGAGGGGAGCUGCUGCAGAAGUCCCUGGGGAAGCUCUCCCAAGCUUCAGUGAUCUGUGCUUCGCUGAUUUUUCCUUUGGUUUUUGACGACGAACAACUCUAUUUUGCAAGUGUUACUUUUUUUUCCUCUUACGAAUUCUUGAUAUUUUGCAUUAGAAAUUACAUGUACUUUGAACCUUCAUCUUCCACAGAUUUUUACUUUGACCACUGGUUUACAAUUGAAAAAACAACAGCACUACAGUAUUUUAAAACUUUUUAAAUUCAAAUAAAAAAAAAUAUUUUGUGUAUGUUAAGUCCUUG